GAUAAACGCUGGCGGCGUGCCUAAUACAUGCAAGUCGAGCGAACGGACGAGAAGCUUGCUUCUCUGAUGUUAGCGGCGGACGGGUGAGUAACACGUGGAUAACCUACCUAUAAGACUGGGAUAACUUCGGGAAACCGGAGCUAAUACCGGAUAAUAUUUUGAACCGCAUGGUUCAAAAGUGAAAGACGGUCUUGCUGUCACUUAUAGAUGGAUCCGCGCUGCAUUAGCUAGUUGGUAAGGUAACGGCUUACCAAGGCAACGAUGCAUAGCCGACUUGAGAGGGUGAUCGGCCACACUGGAACUGAGACACGGUCCAGACUCCUACGGGAGGCAGCAGUAGGGAAUCUUCCGCAAUGGGCGAAAGCCUGACGGAGCAACGCCGCGUGAGUGAUGAAGGUCUUCGGAUCGUAAAACUCUGUUAUUAGGGAAGAACAUAUGUGUAAGUAACUGUGCACAUCUUGACGGUACCUAAUCAGAAAGCCACGGCUAACUACGUGCCAGCAGCCGCGGUAAUACGUAGGUGGCAAGCGUUAUCCGGAAUUAUUGGGCGUAAAGCGCGCGUAGGCGGUUUUUUAAGUCUGAUGUGAAAGCCCACGGCUCAACCGUGGAGGGUCAUUGGAAACUGGAAAACUUGAGUGCAGAAGAGGAAAGUGGAAUUCCAUGUGUAGCGGUGAAAUGCGCAGAGAUAUGGAGGAACACCAGUGGCGAAGGCGACUUUCUGGUCUGUAACUGACGCUGAUGUGCGAAAGCGUGGGGAUCAAACAGGAUUAGAUACCCUGGUAGUCCACGCCGUAAACGAUGAGUGCUAAGUGUUAGGGGGUUUCCGCCCCUUAGUGCUGCAGCUAACGCAUUAAGCACUCCGCCUGGGGAGUACGACCGCAAGGUUGAAACUCAAAGGAAUUGACGGGGACCCGCACAAGCGGUGGAGCAUGUGGUUUAAUUCGAAGCAACGCGAAGAACCUUACCAAAUCUUGACAUCCUUUGACAACUCUAGAGAUAGAGCCUUCCCCUUCGGGGGACAAAGUGACAGGUGGUGCAUGGUUGUCGUCAGCUCGUGUCGUGAGAUGUUGGGUUAAGUCCCGCAACGAGCGCAACCCUUAAGCUUAGUUGCCAUCAUUAAGUUGGGCACUCUAAGUUGACUGCCGGUGACAAACCGGAGGAAGGUGGGGAUGACGUCAAAUCAUCAUGCCCCUUAUGAUUUGGGCUACACACGUGCUACAAUGGACAAUACAAAGGGCAGCGAAACCGCGAGGUCAAGCAAAUCCCAUAAAGUUGUUCUCAGUUCGGAUUGUAGUCUGCAACUCGACUACAUGAAGCUGGAAUCGCUAGUAAUCGUAGAUCAGCAUGCUACGGUGAAUACGUUCCCGGGUCU
Molecule: ribosomal RNA, 1372 nt
Filed under: uncultured bacterium
Lineage: Bacteria
Description: bacterial SSU rRNA
Rfam family: Bacterial small subunit ribosomal RNA
Source: RNAcentral